Molecule: long non-coding RNA, 200 nt
Filed under: Dermacentor andersoni
Lineage: Eukaryota; Metazoa; Arthropoda; Arachnida; Ixodida; Ixodidae
Description: uncharacterized LOC126518647
Source: RNAcentral
GUCAAGCCUACGACCUGUAGGAACCUGCUACACUGCUGCAUGUUGGAUCGCACAACGAUGCACUUGACCUGCAUGCUUUUACAAGGUGCCCUGUGAGCUCUCAUCCAAGCACCGCAUUCCAGAGGUCUGCUUUGAGCAGAUGUGGCAAAUUGAAGUAACAUACAGAUAGUCCAAUAAACUACUCGUAAUUUCAGACAAAC